ACAUGGUGGUCAAGAAUCGGCAAAUGCUCAUGCUGGAAAUAGCAGUGCGACCAAGUAAGGUGGUCCUGAACCAAGUGUAUAACUUCCCACGUCACUAAGCAUAUCAAGAAAAUACAUUAGUAGGUUGUAUCUUUGGUGAAGUAUCUUGAUUUUUUUAGGUCAAAAAGUGAGCCGACCACUCCAACACAACCUAAGACAUUGGUGCUCCAAGACACCCUCAAGACAUUUGUAUGGUACAUCUCUGAGAGGUUCAUCAAAAGAACAUCUCAUCUUGCACUAAUCCAAAUGCUUAUGUUCUAAACUUCUCUUUGUUAAUUUUUUCUUCCAGGGUAACUGAGAUUUUAGAAUUGGAAAGCAUUGCAGGAGCAAGGAGCAACUACACAAGAAUCAGUUUUUAAACGAAUGUAUAUUAUGUAUAAUGUAUGUAAAGCUUAGUUCUAGUUUGUAGUGUCUUCUCUUUAAUUAUUUACAUCAUGUCUGAUUUGUUUUAGUUGUGAAUUCCAUACACUUUUAGUAUUUGUAUGUGUUCCUAGAUUUGUUACAAAGGAUGCUAAUUGUGAGAAUGGAUUUCUACUAAUGCAAUUGGUGAUGUGGAUUGAUGCCUUUAUAUAGUGAUAUUUGAU
RNAcentral lists this long non-coding RNA (623 nucleotides) under Triticum aestivum (bread wheat). Its description in RNAcentral is "long non-coding RNA (TAES_LNC009871)". The record is from RNAcentral. Lineage: Eukaryota; Viridiplantae; Streptophyta; Magnoliopsida; Poales; Poaceae.